UACGUAGGGUGCGAGCGUUAAUCGGAAUUACUGGGCGUAAAGCGUGCGCAGGCGGCUUUGCAAGACAGAUGUGAAAUCCCCGGGCUCAACCUGGAAACUGCAUUUGUGACUGCAUGGCUUGAGUGCGGCAGAGGGGGAUGGAAUUCCGCGUGUAGCAGUGAAAUGCGUAGAUAUGCGGAGGAACACCGAUGGCGAAGGCAAUCCCCUGGGCCUGCACCGACGCUCAUGCACGAAAGCGUGGGGAGCAAACAGG
Molecule: ribosomal RNA, 253 nt
Filed under: uncultured bacterium
Lineage: Bacteria
Description: partial 16S ribosomal RNA
Rfam family: Bacterial small subunit ribosomal RNA
Source: RNAcentral